Mustela lutreola (European mink) is the source of this 708-nucleotide non-coding RNA. The record is from the annotation of a RefSeq genome assembly. Lineage: Eukaryota; Metazoa; Chordata; Mammalia; Carnivora; Mustelidae.
CCCCCUGGAAAUGUGACCUCACAGGAAGACCCGCCUCAGAGGAGACGGCUUUGAGGUCUAGCUCCCUGAGCUACUGCCAUGAGCUCCCCUCCUGGGCCCUGCCUCUGGGUCCUCUUCAUGCCGUCUCUGCCAUGGGCACCAGAGUCCUCUGCUGGGUGGUCAUCUGGCUCCUGGGAGCAGAAAGUGCUUAGAGCUGCAAGGAACCCCCUUACCAUUAUGGGUAAUCAGGUGAUUUGCUGUGUGGCUCUUUGUCUCCUCAGAGCAGGCACAACAGAUGGUGGAAUUACCCAGACUCCGAAAUACUUGCUCAGAGAAGAAGGACGAGAGGUGACUCUGAAAUGUGAACAGGAUUUUAAUCAUGACUAUAUGUACUGGUACCGACAGGACCCAGGGCAAGGGCCGAGACUGAUCUACUACUCGCCGCUAAAAGAUGAUGUUCAGAGAGGCGACAUACCUGAAGGCUACUUUGGCUCUCGGGGGAAGAAGACAAUCUUCUCUCUCGCUGUGACGUCGACACGAAAGAACCACACUGCUCUAUAUCUCUGUGCCAGCAGUAGAGACACAGUGAAGCACAGCCACGUCCCCUCCAUGCAGAAAUGUGUCUUGAGCCCUGCUUCCCCACGAGGUGGCAGGGUUUUGCUGUGUUCAGGGCCCCGAUCUGCCUGCUUUCCUCCACCUCAACCAGACCCCUGAAGCAGCGGCUGCCAU